RNAcentral lists this ribosomal RNA (1285 nucleotides) under uncultured bacterium. RNAcentral describes it as "bacterial SSU rRNA". It matches the Rfam family "Bacterial small subunit ribosomal RNA", at positions 20 to 1300 of the family's 1533-position model. The record is from RNAcentral.
UGGCUCAGGAUGAACGCUAGCUACAGGCUUAACACAUGCAAGUCGAGGGGCAUCAGGAAGAAAGCUUGCUUUCUUUGCUGGCGACCGGCGCACGGGUGAGUAACACGUAUCCAACCUGCCCUUUACUCGGGGAUAGCCUUUCGAAAGAAAGAUUAAUACCCGAUAGCAUAAUGAUUCCGCAUGGUUUCAUUAUUAAAGGAUUCCGGUAAAGGAUGGGGAUGCGUUCCAUUAGGUUGUUGGUGAGGUAACGGCUCACCAAGCCUUCGAUGGAUAGGGGUUCUGAGAGGAAGGUCCCCCACAUUGGAACUGAGACACGGUCCAAACUCCUACGGGAGGCAGCAGUGAGGAAUAUUGGUCAAUGGGCGCUAGCCUGAACCAGCCAAGUAGCGUGAAGGAUGAAGGCUCUAUGGGUCGUAAACUUCUUUUAUAUAAGAAUAAAGUGCAGUAUGUAUACUGUUUUGUAUGUAUUAUAUGAAUAAGGAUCGGCUAACUCCGUGCCAGCAGCCGCGGUAAUACGGAGGAUCCGAGCGUUAUCCGGAUUUAUUGGGUUUAAAGGGAGCGUAGGUGGACUGGUAAGUCAGUUGUGAAAGUUUGCGGCUCAACCGUAAAAUUGCAGUUGAUACUGUCAGUCUUGAGUACAGUAGAGGUGGGCGGAAUUCGUGGUGUAGCGGUGAAAUGCUUAGAUAUCACGAAGAACUCCGAUUGCGAAGGCAGCUCACUGGACUGCAACUGACACUGAUGCUCGAAAGUGUGGGUAUCAAACAGGAUUAGAUACCCUGGUAGUCCACACAGUAAACGAUGAAUACUCGCUGUUUGCGAUAUACAGUAAGCGGCCAAGCGAAAGCAUUAAGUAUUCCACCUGGGGAGUACGCCGGCAACGGUGAAACUCAAAGGAAUUGACGGGGGCCCGCACAAGCGGAGGAACAUGUGGUUUAAUUCGAUGAUACGCGAGGAACCUUACCCGGGCUUAAAUUGCAGUGGAAUGAUGUGGAAACAUGUCAGUGAGCAAUCACCGCUGUGAAGGUGCUGCAUGGUUGUCGUCAGCUCGUGCCGUGAGGUGUCGGCUUAAGUGCCAUAACGAGCGCAACCCUUAUCUUCAGUUACUAACAGGUUAUGCUGAGGACUCUGGAGAGACUGCCGUCGUAAGAUGUGAGGAAGGUGGGGAUGACGUCAAAUCAGCACGGCCCUUACGUCCGGGGCUACACACGUGUUACAAUGGGGGGUACAGAAGGCAGCUAGCGGGUGACCGUAUGCUAAUCCCAAAAGCCUCUCUCAGUUCGGAUCG